This 21-nucleotide non-coding RNA is filed under the name Caenorhabditis elegans. Lineage: Eukaryota; Metazoa; Nematoda; Chromadorea; Rhabditida; Rhabditidae. The record is from RNAcentral.
UGGGUUACAAUUUUUCAAUUA